UAGAAAGUAGUAUAAAGGUAGUACUGAGAGUUUUGGAGUCUCAAGUAGGGGUUCAAUUCCUCUUUUUCUAA
RNAcentral lists this transfer RNA (71 nucleotides) under Meroles squamulosus. RNAcentral's name for it is "tRNA-Gln". It matches the Rfam family "tRNA". Rfam says of the family: Transfer RNA (tRNA) molecules are approximately 80 nucleotides in length. Their secondary structure includes four short double-helical elements and three loops (D, anti-codon, and T loops). Further hydrogen bonds mediate the characteristic L-shaped molecular structure. tRNAs have two regions of fundamental functional importance: the anti-codon, which is responsible for specific mRNA codon recognition, and the 3' end, to which the tRNAs corresponding amino acid is attached (by aminoacyl-tRNA synthetases). tRNAs cope with the degeneracy of the genetic code in two manners: having more than one tRNA (with a specific anti-codon) for a particular amino acid; and 'wobble' base-pairing, i.e. permitting non-standard base-pairing at the 3rd anti-codon position. The record is from RNAcentral. Lineage: Eukaryota; Metazoa; Chordata; Lepidosauria; Squamata; Lacertidae.